AUGAACAGCAGCAAGAUUGCUGCACAGCUAAGCAAGGUCAUAGUGUCUUUCAGUGAGAAACAGAAAGCAAGUCUGCUUCUAUUUCAACAAUAAACAGGCUGUUUAUAAGUGUCCUGAUUAUGGCUGCUUCAUGACCACAACACCAGGAAUUACGAUUAUGGAAAGACUCAGAUAUAAAGGUCCUGUGGCUUUAGUAAUGAGACAUCUGGUACAUCUGCACACUUCAGGCUUCUUCGUCUGUCUUUCUGUAGAGUUGCUGAUCUCCCUACGGAAUUCUCCUCAAGAUCUUCCUCCAGGCUAAGCCAAAUGUUCUAAUCAAAUUGACACAUUUGGUUUGAUAUAAGACUUUCACAAAGCAACUUGAGGUUAUUUGAACAUGCACACAAGCAUCCGUAUUGGUAGGAAUGUUAAGUCAUUCUUGUUGAGACGUGUUCAGAAGGGUUUGCAAAAAGAAAAUGUGUACUGCAUGACUUUCAGAUUUGACUUAAAAUAUGAUUUAAUAUAAACAUAAAAACUGAGGGCAAUUGGUAUUCAACAACGUCUUCAAAUUUUACUCAGAUUUUAAUUUGUGAAUUUAAAUAGCCAUUGUAAAACUUUAUGUAUAUUUUAAUCCUCUUUUUUAUAUCUUUUCAUAGCAUUUUAUUAAUUCUGUAAAUUCAUCUCAACAGUUCAACAAUUGAUUGUAAAUUGCUAUUUUACAGAAUGUCAAGUACAACACUGGAAGUAAAAUUUUAUGUAUAAAUAUAGAUUAUUAUUAUUAUUAUUAUUAUUAUUAUUAUUAUUAUUAUUAUUAUUAUCGAGCAUUAAUUAAUGGUGCAAGAAUUAUGUAGAAGUUGUAGGAUUAUUAUGUAGGAUUUACUUUUCAAAAAGUAUUUUGCUUCAAGUCUUCAUGUGGUCUCUAGAAAUCUUCUUGUGUGCUGAAAAAAACACUGCUUCAGUUCAAAGUUUGCUCUAGCCACACCUUCUGAAUAACGAUGUAUGAAAAGAAGGUGUGGGCCAGACUCUUAUCAGUCCUCUUAAUAGUGUGAUGAUAUAAUGACCAACAAAAAAGAAUACUCACAGUGUGGGACUUAAGCAUCUUAACCCCUGGAAACUUUUCACAUUUUCACAGACAUGUUAUGUAUUGUAGCAGAGCUGAUGGAAAGUACAUGCAGGAUGUAAAGCAGUAACAUCAUAAAACUUAAUAUUGUUUUAUUAUUAUGCUUAAUAUUGGUCAAAUAAAUUCAGUUUAGUGUGAUAAGAUGCCAGUGCAAAUGUGUUCUAUGAUCGCUUUAGGAAUACAGGAAAUGUACUUACAGUGUUAAAAUAUGCAUCAGUGAUCAGUGGUUGGCCAUUAGGAAUAGUGAUUAGUGAUUAGUGAUUGACAGUGGUUUAAAAUAAUGGAGAUCAGUGACUGAAUCCCCACAAAGCAUAGCUACACUGGCUGCCCUAUCCUCUGCCUAUAUUUUCUCUCACUAACCAUAAGAAACAGGCAGGGGUGGUGAUACAGGUCUGCUGUUGUCAUGGAAAUGGUGUUUCACACCUCUCCCCUUGUCUCAUCUAACUAUCUCAUCUUUUGAAUGCCAUGCAGUUUCAGUUACCUCUCCAAUCAACCUCUUGAUCAUCAACAUCUACUGCCCUGCUGGUCCCUGAGGAGACUUCAUGUCCUUGGUGAUUUCAACCUCUCCUCUGUCAAGCUUAAGUCUUCUUACCUUCUGACUCUUCUGAAUUCUUUCUCCUUGACAUAAAGAAUCCUGAAGAAACCUGCUCUGUAUCCCUCUACAGACUGGUAUCAUUUCUCUCUUUUCUUUUUAAAGUUCUUGAAUCCAUUGUUUAUAAUCAACUAACUAUCCUAACCAUUCUGUCCAAGCUGUCACCUGUCCUCAUCCCCUUUAACCUUUUGGAAGCAUUUGACAAAGAAAAUCAUUUUUCUGAUUUGCUCUAAGAAUAAUAAAUAGAAGGCAAUAUGUGUGUAAAUUGUUUUGAGUGCUGGUUAGAAAAGGUAACCUUGCAUGAUGAAUUAAAGAAUAAGUCGAUUCUCACUGUAAGCAUUUCUGGUGUUUUUACUCAUCUAUACACAGCAGUAGGAAAUGCCACUUUUAUCAAAUUAUUUCAAUACUGUUAAUAUCCAAAAGUCUAUUAAUCAGGAAGAGGUGGAUGGCCUUUUUGAAAUUUAAAUUUUCAUGCUACAUGAUUCUGUGGAUGUAACAUUCGAAGCAAACUACGAAAAAUGUUCUAUUGAAGAUUUAGUAGCUUGCAGUUACUUUUAAAUAUUAAUAAUUGUCAUUGAUGGAUUGAGAAUGAAUGCCACAAACAUGCAAGUGUAAUAAGCAUAUCAGUUAGGUAGUGUUUCAACUGCACAAAGCAUUAUAGCUAAACCUAAUCAUUAGCAAAUUAUUAGUCAGACAACUUGCAACAGUAUUCUCUGUAGACUCCAGUCUAACAUGUCUAACAUGUUUGCACUAUAAUCUUCAGUUAGUGGAAAUGUGGAAGAGAAUAAUUAGUAAUUAUUGGGUUAGGUUAUUGUUUCUUCAUGUAACUAAAAUGCAUAUCUAUAAUACCACACCAUGAGACUUUACUGUGUGUUGCAUAUGAGCCAGCAGUUUUUUUUCUAUGCUAAGCUGCCACUAGGUGUGGAUAAUUGUGUUACUGUGAUGAGUGCAUGGUAAGGGUGUAUCGAGGGUGUACUACCCUGACUCUACCUGAAGGCAGCGACUGAAGUUGAAUUGAAUGAAUGAUAUUCAUGAUCAUAGUUAAGAAAAUGCAAAGAAUAUUAUAAACACAAUCAUAUAGAGUUGUGCUCAAAGGUUUGCAUUCCUUGGGAGAAUUUGCAAGUUGUGUAUCAUUUUUUACAGAAAACAUGAGUGAGAAGACAAAACAAAUUUAUAUUAUUUCUUAUAGGACUCAAGUUAAUAUGUAAAAUAAGGAAAUAAUCCCUGUUAAAAUGUUUGCAUACCUUUUGUAAUAAUUGUGCAU
Long non-coding RNA from Tachysurus vachellii, 2955 nucleotides. RefSeq lists it as uncharacterized. NCBI's taxonomy places the organism in Eukaryota, Metazoa, Chordata, Actinopteri, Siluriformes, Bagridae. The transcript is spliced from 3 exons. The record is from RefSeq and is a predicted model, not a curated record.